RNAcentral lists this ribosomal RNA (426 nucleotides) under uncultured bacterium. RNAcentral's name for it is "bacterial SSU rRNA". It matches the Rfam family "Bacterial small subunit ribosomal RNA", at positions 359 to 776 of the family's 1533-position model. The record is from RNAcentral.
GAAUAUUGGACAAUGGGGGCAACCCUGAUCCAGCCACGCCGCGUGAGUGAUGAAGGUUUUCGGAUCGUAAAACUCUGUCUUGAGGGACGAAUUCCUCGGGUUCGAAUAGGGCCUGAGAUUGACGGUACCUCAGGAGGAAGCACCGGCUAACUCCGUGCCAGCAGCCGCGGUAAAACGGAGGGUGCAAACGUUGCUCGGAAUUACUGGGCGUAAAGCGCGUGUAGGCGGUUUGUUGGGUUCCGUGUGAAAGCCCUGGGCUUAACUCAGGAAGGGCACGGAAAGCCGGCAGACUAGAGUACUGGAGAAGUGGGCGGAAUUCCCGGUGUAGAGGUGAAAUUCGUAGAUAUCGGGAGGAACACCAGUAGCGAAAGCGGUUCACUUGACAGAUACUGACGCUCAGAUGCGAAAGCGUGGGGAGCAAACAGG